RNAcentral lists this ribosomal RNA (825 nucleotides) under uncultured Staphylococcus sp. Its description in RNAcentral is "bacterial SSU rRNA". It matches the Rfam family "Bacterial small subunit ribosomal RNA", at positions 86 to 896 of the family's 1533-position model. The record is from RNAcentral. Lineage: Bacteria; Bacillati; Bacillota; Bacilli; Caryophanales; Staphylococcaceae.
CUGACGUUAGCGGCGGACGGGUGAGUAACACGUGGAUAACCUACCUAUAAGACUGGGAUAACUUCGGGAAACCGGAGCUAAUACCGGAUAAUAUAUUGAACCACAUGGUUCAAUAGUGAAAGACGGUUUUGCUGUCACUUAUAGAUGGAUCCGCGCCGCAUUAGCUAGUUGGUAAGGUAACGGCUUACCAAGGCGACGAUGCGUAGCCGACCUGAGAGGGUGAUCGGCCACACUGGAACUGAGACACGGUCCAGACUCCUACGGGAGGCAGCAGUAGGGAAUCUUCCGCAAUGGGCGAAAGCCUGACGGAGCAACGCCGCGUGAGUGAUGAAGGUCUUCGGAUCGUAAAACUCUGUUAUUAGGGAAGAACAAAUGUGUAAGUAACUAUGCACGUCUUGACGGUACCUAAUCAGAAAGCCACGGCUAACUACGUGCCAGCAGCCGCGGUAAUACGUAGGUGGCAAGCGUUAUCCGGAAUUAUUGGGCGUAAAGCGCGCGUAGGCGGUUUUUUAAGUCUGAUGUGAAAGCCCACGGCUCAACCGUGGAGGGUCAUUGGAAACUGGAAAACUUGAGUGCAGAAGAGGAAAGUGGAAUUCCAUGUGUAGCGGUGAAAUGCGCAGAGAUAUGGAGGAACACCAGUGGCGAAGGCGACUUUCUGGUCUGUAACUGACGCUGAUGUGCGAAAGCGUGGGGGAUCAAACAGGAUUAGAUACCUGGGUAGUCCACGCCGUAAACGAUGAGUGCUAAGUGUUAGGGGGUUUCCGCCCCUUAGUGCUGCAGCUAACGCAUUAAGCACUCCGCCUGGGGAGUACGACCGCAAGGUUG